RNAcentral lists this ribosomal RNA (252 nucleotides) under uncultured bacterium. Its description in RNAcentral is "partial 16S ribosomal RNA". It matches the Rfam family "Bacterial small subunit ribosomal RNA", at positions 524 to 776 of the family's 1533-position model. The record is from RNAcentral.
UACGGAGGAUGCGAGCGUUAUCCGGAUUUAUUGGGUUUAAAGGGUGCGUAGGCGGGCUGUUAAGUCAGCGGUCAAAUGUCGGGGCUCAACCCCGGCCUGCCGUUGAAACUGGCGGCCUCGAGUGGGCGAGAAGUAUGCGGAAUGCGUGGUGUAGCGGUGAAAUGCAUAGAUAUCACGCAGAACUCCGAUUGCGAAGGCAGCAUACCGGCGCCCGACUGACGCUGAGGCACGAAAGCGUGGGUAUCGAACAGG